GCACUCACUUUGGCAGCACAUACACUAAAAUUAGAAUGAUACAGAGUAGAUUAGCAUGGCCCUUGUGCAAGGAUGACAUGCAAAUUCAUUAUGCAUUCCAUAUUUUU
Small nuclear RNA from Nomascus leucogenys (northern white-cheeked gibbon), 107 nucleotides. NCBI's taxonomy places the organism in Eukaryota, Metazoa, Chordata, Mammalia, Primates, Hylobatidae. The record is from Ensembl.